GAUGAACGCUAGCGGCAGGCCUAACACAUGCAAGUCGAGGGGUAGAAGGCUUCGGCCUUUGAGACCGGCGCACGGGUGCGUAACGCGUAUGCAAUCUGCCUUGCACUAAGGGAUAGCCCGGAGAAAUCCGGAUUAAUACCUUAUAGUAUAUUGAUGUGGCAUCACAUUAUUAUUAAAGAUUUAUCGGUGCAAGACGAGCAUGCGUCCCAUUAGCUAGUUGGUAUGGUAACGGCAUACCAAGGCAAUGAUGGGUAGGGGUCCUGAGAGGGAGAUCCCCCACGCUGGUACUGAGACACGGACCAGACUCCUACGGGAGGCAGCAGUGAGGAAUAUUGGUCAAUGGGCGCAAGCCUGAACCAGCCAUGCCGCGUGCAGGAUGACUGCCCUAUGGGUUGUAAACUGCUUUUGUACGGGAAGAAACACCUCUACGUGUAGAGGCUUGACGGUACCGUAAGAAUAAGGAUCGGCUAACUCCGUGCCAGC
This 483-nucleotide ribosomal RNA is filed under the name uncultured bacterium. RNAcentral describes it as "bacterial SSU rRNA". It matches the Rfam family "Bacterial small subunit ribosomal RNA", at positions 28 to 512 of the family's 1533-position model. The record is from RNAcentral.